GAGGUGGAAGCGUGGUGACACGUGGAGCUGACGAAUACUAAUCGAUCGAAGACUUAAUCAAUUU
Molecule: ribosomal RNA, 64 nt
Filed under: Staphylococcus epidermidis
Lineage: Bacteria; Bacillati; Bacillota; Bacilli; Caryophanales; Staphylococcaceae
Description: partial 23S ribosomal RNA
Source: RNAcentral